UACGAAGGGGGCUAGCGUUGCUCGGAAUCACUGGGCGUAAAGGGCGCGUAGGCGGGCCUUUAAGGCAGGGGUGAAAUCCUGGAGCUCAACUCCAGAACUGCCUUUGAUACUGAAGAUCUUGAGUUCAGGAGAGGUGAGUGGAACUGCGAGUGUAGAGGUGAAAUUCGUAGAUAUUCGCAAGAACACCAGUGGCGAAGGCGGCUCACUGGCCCGAUACUGACGCUGAGGCACGAAAGCGUGGGGAGCAAACAGG
RNAcentral lists this ribosomal RNA (253 nucleotides) under uncultured bacterium. RNAcentral's name for it is "partial 16S ribosomal RNA". It matches the Rfam family "Bacterial small subunit ribosomal RNA", at positions 524 to 776 of the family's 1533-position model. The record is from RNAcentral.